CCAAGGUCUACACGUUUUAUUCCCACCCCCACCAGACUUACUCACGGAUAUACCACUUUCUAGCAACUCCCAACACCAUAUCGCAAAUCACCACCUCCACCAUAGGUUCGAUAACUUGGUCGGACCACGCCGACAUAUUCCUGACACUGACUAUACCAAAUAACUGCAGAAGACACACCUCUCGUUUCCCCACGGACCCACCCACAAGCAAUACUGAUGGUGCCCCUCCACGGACUGGUGAGGGCAUAUUCCUAGUGGGGCAAGUCCUGC
Pelobates cultripes (western spadefoot toad) is the source of this 270-nucleotide non-coding RNA. The record is from the annotation of a GenBank genome assembly. Lineage: Eukaryota; Metazoa; Chordata; Amphibia; Anura; Pelobatidae.